GGCCAGUUUUAUCACGGUGUACAGUUUGAAGUGAGCAACCUCCACCCAGGAGAAGACCCUGAAAAACCUGAUGCCACAAUGGAUGUUAAAGGACACAAACUGACUGUGACUAGAGGCUGGCAGAAAGACUUCCGUAGAGAUGUGAAAAACGGAGAGAAAGUGCCCUGCUGGUUUGUACACA
Molecule: long non-coding RNA, 181 nt
Organism: Alosa sapidissima (American shad)
Lineage: Eukaryota; Metazoa; Chordata; Actinopteri; Clupeiformes; Clupeidae
Exons: 2
Source: RefSeq, a predicted model, not a curated record